This 31-nucleotide ribosomal RNA is filed under the name Rotylenchulus reniformis. Its description in RNAcentral is "partial 5.8S ribosomal RNA". Lineage: Eukaryota; Metazoa; Nematoda; Chromadorea; Rhabditida; Hoplolaimidae. The record is from RNAcentral.
CCUAGUCUAUCGGUGGAAUCACUCGGCUCGU